Molecule: ribosomal RNA, 890 nt
Filed under: Anopheles funestus (African malaria mosquito)
Lineage: Eukaryota; Metazoa; Arthropoda; Insecta; Diptera; Culicidae
Description: eukaryotic small subunit ribosomal RNA
Rfam family: Eukaryotic small subunit ribosomal RNA
Source: RNAcentral
CUGGUUGAUCCUACCAGUAAUAUACGCUUGUCUCAAAGGUUAAGCCAUGCAUGUCUAAGUACAAACAUAAAUGAAUGUGAAACCGCAUAAGGCUCAGUAUAACAGCUAUAAUUCACAAGAUCAUCCUACCACUAGUUACUUGGAUAACUGUGGAAAAUCCAGAGCUAAUACAUGCAACAUGCCGGGACUGUUGCCCUCGCGGGUAGCUGAACUGGUGCACUUAUUAGUUAAACCAAUCGCCUCCGGGCGGCUUGAGUUGAAGUCUGGAUAAGGACGCAGAUCGUAUGGUCGCUUGUCGACUGACGACAGAUCUUUCAAAUGUCUGCCCUAUCAACUAUUGAUGGUAGUGUAGAGGACUACCAUGGUUGCGACGGGUAACGGGGAAUCAGGGUUCGAUUCCGGAGAGGGAGCCUGAGAAAUGGCUACCACAUCCAAGGAAGGCAGCAGGCGCGUAAAUUACCCAAUCCCAGUACGGGAGGUAGUGACGAGAAAUAACAAUAUGGACCUCUCUAACGAUGGUCCAUAAUUGGAAUGAGUUGAGUAUAAAUCCUUCAACAAGGAUCAAGUGGAGGGCAAGUCUGGUGCCAGCAGCCGCGGUAAUUCCAGCUCCACUAGCGUAUAUUAAAGUUGUUGCGGUUAAAACGUUCGAAGUUGAUUGCCCGUCCAGACACGUGACCGCCACGGGCGCCCGGUUACACGCCGGGGCCGUUCGUGCGCGCGCUCACGGCUGCGACUCACAAUGGUGUACUUGGGCGUUACUCCUGUGAAACGAGUACCGUGCUACCGGUUAACUCCGGCACGGGCUCCUCAUGGUGCUCAAGAUACUCACAUUUACCUUGAACAAAUUAGAGUGCUCAAAGCAGGCUAAGACAAAGCGUCCGGCCCCCCGU